CACGCCCUUGGGUGCGCACGGAGUCCAAAGGCCCAUCUGGAGAGAUUCUGCCUGAGCUAGUUCUCCCUCUCAAGGCCCUCAUCCGGAUUCUUGCCUGUCUGCUUGCCCACAUGGGGAUUUCGGGGUUGAGGGUCUCACCCCUCCGACUUCUCCCGGCUGGUCCCUCCGCUCAGGGCACAGCGCGCCACACGCGGACGCGAGCGCGAGCAGCCAGGACCCGCGGGAGAAGUCGGUCCUCACUUCUCUGGCCGCUCCUCUGCGUCCGCUGGCACUAAAACCCCACCAAGGGGGCUGGGCCGGGGGAUGCAGACGCUAAGGUGGACUGGGGGUGGGGGUGCUCCUCUCAAGGUGCCCAGACGCGCGACUGGCCGGAGAGGCUGCACGCGCGCCCACCCGGCCUCUGCUCUCCCACCUGGGGCUAGCCUCCUCCGCGACGGCGAGGCGCGCAGCUCCCAUCCCAACCCCGACCCCGAGUCCAGCCCGAGGAGCAGUCCGUUCCCGGUCAGAGCCUUCCAGAGCCCAGGGGCCCCCAGCCUUGCUGGGAGGAUGCACCCAGCCUACGUCCUGCCGGCGCCUUCCCAAACCACCGCCACACUCGCUUUCACACCCGCUGGAAGAGUGACGCGUCCGGGCAGAGCGCUUUAUUAGCAUGGAAGAAUUCACCUUCAGAAGAUUGGAAACUUUUCUUUUUGGUUAUACAGGUUUGCAACGUUAAAAGUCAAUUCUUCGCUUAAUUUUGUCUUUGAAGGAGUUACCCUAAUUUAUUGAGAUGAUGAAUUAAAAUUGUCUCCAUUUCUCCUCUUUCCACAAAUUAAAAUGAUAACCAAACUUGGCAUCAUUGUUUCCUUGAUAAAAGCUUUCAGUUACAUGUGAGCUAAGUUGAAGUCUACUCCCUCCAUCCCAACCACACAAGCACAGUUUUCACUCUGACACUCCAAUAAUGCACUUAGUUUAAAAUUACACUUGGACCUUUCCUCCUUUGUAUUUUUUCAUUUACUUCAGUGCAACAAGAUGACUUGAUUUUCUUGGGAUUACAUGAACUCCAUUCAGUGUUACUGGGACAUUUCUGGUCAACUAAAUACUUGCCUUAAUAGACAAAUGAACUCCUUUUUAUUUGCUGGAGUUUGUAGACAGUUUUAGAUACAGAGCGUGCAACUGAUUUAGUUAUUGUUGUUGUGAGAAUCGAACAGGCACAAAAGUCAUUUAUCUAAACCAAAGAGAUAUGACUCUGUAAAGGGGAG
Molecule: long non-coding RNA, 1241 nt
Filed under: Sus scrofa (pig)
Lineage: Eukaryota; Metazoa; Chordata; Mammalia; Artiodactyla; Suidae
Description: lncRNA (ENSSSCG00065067199.1)
Source: RNAcentral